UUGUGCAGUCACUCCCAGCCACCGCCCAGCUCUCGGAGCAGCUGGGGGGAGAGCGCAGGCGCGGGUCGCUCUGUCCCGCCCUCCCCUGCUACGACAGCGGAAGCGGAAGCGCUGCUUCGGCUUAGCGUGGGGUUGCCGACGUUAUUAGAUCUCUGAGACAAUUCGUUGUACAAAGAAGCCAACUAUGGGCAUUAAAGGUCUUCAGGGAUUUGUGGCAAAUGUUUGCCAUGAUGUGCACAAAAUGGUAAAUCUGAAGGAAAUGGCAGAAGAACAUCGCAUGAGUUAUCCUGACUCUCCUCCCGUAAUUGUGGUAGAUGCCCUGAGUUGUAUACGACACUGGUAUACACCAGAAUCUUGGGUUUGUGGUGGCCAGUGGCAAGAGUACCUUGCUAAUUUAGAGGAUUUUAUUAAUGCUUUCACAGCAGCUGAUAUCAAGCUGGUAUUCUUCUUUGAUGGUGUUGUGGAGCAGAAAAAGAGAGGUGAAUGGGUUAAACGGAGGUUGAAGAAUAACAAGGAAAUAGGCAGAAUCUUUCAGUUCAUCAAGACGUACAGGCAGCAACCAGGGAGAGGGAUGUUCUUUAUUCCUUCUGGUUUGGCUACUUUCACACGCUUUGCCUUAAAGUCCCUUGGUCAGAAAACAAUAUGUUCGUUGCAAGAAGCAGACUAUGAAGUGGCCUCUUAUGGGCUGCAGCAUAAUUGCAUGGGGAUUCUUGGACAAGAUACAGACUACCUCAUCUAUAACACCUCUCCAUACUUCUCCAUUGAAAAGCUCUGCUUGGACAAGAUGGUCACUGUCAUGUAUUCCAGGGAGAACCUCUGCCGUGCACUAAAUCUUAAUAUAACAGACCUCCCUUUUUUUGCUUGUCUGCUUGGCAAUGAUGUAGUUCCAGAAGCUGCUUUGGAAGGUUUUUGGCAUAAAUGUUUAACCUCUUGUCCUCCUAAAAGCCAGAGCUAUGACAAAAGGUCUAACAUAAUUCUGGCUGUAGCAAACUACAUAUCAGGACUUCCACAUUCAUACAGUAGUGUGAAAAACUUUGAAGAGAUGCUACCUUUGGGAUCAGACAAGACAUUACUGUGCAAGGCAAUGGAGUCCUAUAUCCUGCCUGGUCAGCAGUCUCCCUGGCUUCCUCCCUCUCUAUCAAAUUCCCAGGCACUCUCAGCCAAGCAGGACACAGGCAUGUGCUCAGAUCAGGAGAUAUUUCAGUUAGCUAAAGAACAGCACAUCACAGGUGAAAAUUACAUGGUCUUUAAUAUCCUGAGCAAUGGAGAGGUUGAAUGCAGCAACACGUUGGAGGAUGAACUGGAUACAGAGCUACCUGGGCAGGCACUUAUUUACCGCCCUGCUCGUCAACAUAUUUAUUCUGUCCUGCUUGAACCUAGGAAAGAUACCCAGAGAGUCUGUUCUGUAGUAAAGGAAUGGUUUGUUUACUUUGGGAAUCCUCUUCACCAACCAGAACUGAUGCAACCAGUACAGCUUGACAUCCCAGGUGAAAUGCCUAGUUUGAGAACGCUCUGGCUUGGCAAAGGACCAGACAUAGAAAAUCAACGGUAUAGCACAUUUCUGGCAUGCUUUCAUCUUCAGGAUAUGGUGGAGGAGCUCAAGGCUCUGAAAGCACCUGUUGCAGCUGUCUGUUGCCUGUUGAUGUACCUCUUGCUGCAGGUAGACAGCCUUUCUCUAGAGGAUUUGAAUGCAUUUGUGGCUCAGACUCUGUGCCUGCAGGGGAUGUCGGCUGCUCAGCUAUCAGGUUUGCAGCUUGUGCAAGUGGACUCUAGAGCUGUACAGCUCGGCGCUCUCUUUAUUCGUGGUCUUGCAACUUUGAUUAUGGCGAAUAGUGCCUGUGGCUUUCCAUUCAGCAUGGAUGAUUUCAUGCCUUGGAAGGUGUUUGAUGGAAAGCUUUUUCAAGAGAAAUAUCAGCAGUCACACAGAGGGUGUUCUUUGGAAGAGCUUUUGGAAGGCAAUGGAUUUUUAUGUACGCAGUUCCAGAAUCUGAAGUUGCUCAUCUGCAAAGCUUGUAUGGCGAAGAACAGAACAAUUCAGAGCAGACAGCGGGGAGAUGGAUUUAUCGCAGAAAUGCAAGGAAGAGGAAGGAAUGCUAAUUUUCAGCAAGCGCACAGAACUUCAUUUGCUCCUCCAUACCGUAAUCAGAACAGGGGAUAUCAGUGGAGAGGGCUUCAGCCUUAUGGCUCUCAGACCCAACCUUCAGUGCAGGGGGAGUCCAGGAUCUUGAUCCCAGGCACCUCCUGCAUCAGUAGAGGAUACCAACCACGACAUCAAGACCAGAGGAGAAGAUUCCAGUUUACUCCACGGUAAAUAAUGGAAGUUCAGAGUGCAGAAGGAUGUCUGAAUAAGAUGAUACAAUAGAACUUAGAUAAUUUCUUGCUCCUCUGCAAAGAUGAUUUGUGGACGAUCUGGAGAUGGCCCAGAUGACUCUGUUGUGACUGGAUCUGAAUGAAAAUUGAUAAGACAAACUAUAUUUUGAUAAAGCACUGGACAUUAAACAUCAUAAAAAUCUUUUCAGUGUAUGUAUUGUACCAUUGUGAACAACCUGAAUACAUAUUUUAGGAGUGGUGGAGGGGAAGGGUUUAAUUACAGGCUUAUUUCCCUGCCUUCUCUCAGGUUGCCAAUAAUUUAUCAUUUUGUACCUCUGAUGGGUCUUUUUUCAUUGCUAAUUUAAUUGUCUAGAAAUACACGCUCUAUUAUGAAACAGUUACUGAAUUAUUUACCAAAUGGGAACUUUACAGAAGCUUUAGGUAGACAGUUAUGAAAUCUGUUUGUAAGGGGAAAUGCAUGCAGAAACAUUGUAACAACUAAGCAGAGAAACACUGUAGGCACUGUUACAUUGUGAAAGAAAUCUAAUUAACAUGCCUGGCUCCCUCAUUAAAGAGUAGCAAAGCCAUGAAAAACUAAAUAGCUCUUCCUAAACAAGUGUUGAUAAACCUUUAUGCUAUGCCAUGGUAUAUUCCAUAUGUGCCAUAUCUUUUACAAAAAAAGUAUUUUAGAAGUGUUUCAGAUAGCAUCAGUGUUUAAAAAACAAAACUUCCUUCUCCCCCUGCCCUUCCCCCCCCCCAUUUGUAUAUUUCUGCCUGUAAAGCUAGAUGACCUCAUUACGUGGAAGUUUCAGAGGAAGAGGAAAAAUGACUAAAAUGUUUUAAAAACCUGUCAAAAUAUUUGUUUUAUGCACAAAAGUAUAAGAGCUUUUAAGUCUUAUUAUUUCUGGGUCUUCCAAAGCUGCAUACAAGCACUGUCUGUUCCGUUAGGAAACCCAGAGUUUUCCUUUUGGCUCUAUAAUGGUCCCAUUUCCAAUCCUUUACAGUUUUAUAUAUCUGACUUUAAAUAUGUCAUCACUCUAGGACUACACAUGGCUCAUCCUAGGCCUCAGGCCAGAGUAAUUUUGGAAGAAAUCCCAAAUUAGGGGGAAAUGAGUAUUCCUCUUAAACAUUGAGAUUUUUUUAAUGGCAGCAGUUUGAAGCACAGUGGAUGAAAUUUUGUCUUUGUUGAAGUCAGGGUUAAACCUGCCAUUAACUUCAGGGGAGUCAAGGUAUCACCCCAUUUCAAUCACUAGCUGAUAGAAAUUUAUGGACAGAUGGACAGCCUGCAGGUGAACCGAAGGUAUAUCAUGACUUAAUUUAUUAGCCACAUAGUUUUCACUGCUGCAUGUGGUAUAUAUGCUUGCAUUUGAUAUGAUGUAUUUGAUUUGAUAUGAUGUAUUUGUACACUGUAGAUUAAGCAGUGUUCACAAAAAUUUGGCAUGAAGAAAAUAAGUUCUCUUGUAUCUUGUUUAAAGUGAUUUAUCUCUUUUUGUGGUUUUUUAUCAAGUGUAUUGCUGUUGCUACUGUACAGAUUUGAUAUAAUGGUCAUAGAUUAAAACAUGCUUGUUUUUAGUUCAUUCUAUUUCUAUUGUAGUUACUGCGGCUACCGUUGUUCCUUAGGCUUUGUACAUGUAUCCUCUUUUGAGCCAACUCUUCAUUAAACUUUUCCAUCCAGUA
RNA transcript from Alligator mississippiensis (American alligator), 3987 nucleotides. It is a transcript of the gene named family with sequence similarity 120 member B, with no coding region annotated. The record is from RefSeq and is a predicted model, not a curated record. The transcript is spliced from 12 exons. NCBI's taxonomy places the organism in Eukaryota, Metazoa, Chordata, Crocodylia, Alligatoridae.